Molecule: ribosomal RNA, 277 nt
Filed under: uncultured bacterium
Lineage: Bacteria
Description: partial 16S ribosomal RNA
Rfam family: Bacterial small subunit ribosomal RNA
Source: RNAcentral
AAUCAACGCUGGCGGCGUGCCUAAUACAUGCAAGUCGAACGCGAAAGGGGCUUCGGCCCUGAGUAGAGUGGCAAACGGGUGAGUAACGCGUGGGUGACCUACCUUCGAGUGGGGGAUAACGUUCCGAAAGGAACGCUAAUACCGCAUGACAUCCUGUCUUUGGACAGAUGGCGAUCAAAGCCGGGGACCGCAAGGCCUGGCGCUCGAUGAGGGGCCCGCGUCCGAUUAGCUAGUUGGUGGGGUAAUGGCCCACCAAGGCGACGAUCGGUAGCCGGCC